This 776-nucleotide long non-coding RNA is filed under the name Gallus gallus (chicken). Lineage: Eukaryota; Metazoa; Chordata; Aves; Galliformes; Phasianidae. The record is from RNAcentral.
CUGACAUCAGCCUGUACUGCCUGAUAUAACACUGUGAUAACACUGACAUCAGCCUGUACUGCCUGAUAUAACACCAUAACACUGACAUCAGCCUGUACUGCCUGAUAUAACACCAUGAUAACACUGACAUCAGCCUGUACUGCCUGAUAUAACACCAUAACACUGACAUCAGCCUGUACUGCCUGAUAUAACACCACGAUAACUUGAAGCUCAUAGAGCCACGUCGUGGUUGGGGUGGAAAAGGGUCCUGGAAGGUCACGGAGCCGUGGCUGUGCGCCCCACACACACCCACCCACCUACGGAGGUGGCGCCGGGUUCUCACGCCUUCCUUUGGAUAAAUAUUUUCGUCUUUUUUAACCGAAAUCGCCUAUUUUUCCGUGCGGUUCGGGGCCCUUUAAGGGCCACGCCCACACGGCUCAGGCCCCGCCCCUCUGUCCUCCCUCAACCAAUCAUAGCGCAGCGGGUGUGCGCGCCGGGAGCAUGCGCACUACUCGCGUUCUACGCCGGCCUGACUACAGUCGGCACCCGUAGCGUGUGACGUCUUUUGUCCGCGCCGCGCUGUGAUGUCAUAACCGCGCGCCGCGGGCGUGAUUGAAACGGAGAUGCAGCGGGCGGUGAGGGUCGGGCUGCGGCCCACGCUGCGGUGGUUCCGCGCCGCCCCCCCGGCGUUGGCGGCGGACAAAGAGGCGCUGCUGAAGCUGCGGAAGAGCACUGGGCUGCCGUUCACGAAGUGCCAGGAGGCGCUGCGGCAGUGCGGGGGGGACGUGGGGCAGGUG